RNAcentral lists this ribosomal RNA (501 nucleotides) under uncultured bacterium. RNAcentral's name for it is "partial 16S ribosomal RNA". It matches the Rfam family "Bacterial small subunit ribosomal RNA", at positions 29 to 523 of the family's 1533-position model. The record is from RNAcentral.
AUUGAACGCUGGCGGCAUGCCUUACACAUGCAAGUCGAACGGCAGCACGGGUGCUUGCACCAGGUGGCGAGUGGCGAACGGGUGAGUAAUACAUCGGAACGUACCUUAUCGUGGGGGAUAACGCAGCGAAAGCUGUGCUAAUACCGCAUACGCCCUGAGGGGGAAAGCGGGGGAUCGAAAGACCUCGCGCGAUUAGAGCGGCCGAUGCCGGAUUAGCUUGUUGGUGGGGUAAAAGCCCACCAAGGCGACGAUCAGUAGCUGGUCUGAGAGGACGAUCAGCCACACUGGGACUGAGACACGGCCCAGACUCCUACGGGAGGCAGCAGUGGGGAAUUUUGGACAAUGGGGGCAACCCUGAUCAAGCAAUGCCGCGUGAGUGAAGAAGGCCUUCGGGUUGUAAAGCUCUUUUGUCAGGGAAGAAACACCGGCUCUAACACAGUCCGGGAAUGACGGUACCUGAAGAAUAAGCACCGGCUAACUACGUGCCAGCCGCCGCAGUAA